RNAcentral lists this ribosomal RNA (298 nucleotides) under Spirometra erinaceieuropaei. RNAcentral describes it as "partial 28S ribosomal RNA". It matches the Rfam family "Eukaryotic large subunit ribosomal RNA", at positions 19 to 286 of the family's 3401-position model. Lineage: Eukaryota; Metazoa; Platyhelminthes; Cestoda; Diphyllobothriidea; Diphyllobothriidae. The record is from RNAcentral.
GAUUACCCGCUGAACUUAAGCAUAUCACUAAGCGGAGGAAAAGAGACUAACCAGGAUUCCCCUAGUAACGGCGAGUGAAGAGGGAAUAGCCCAGCACCGAAGCCUGCGGUAGUUUUACUGCUAGGCAAUGUGGUGUUUGGGUCGACUCGCGGGAUUGCCACUCCACUCGAAGUCCAGCACUGAGUAUGGUUCCCUGGAUUUGGCCCAGAGAGGGUGAAAGGCCCGUGCGAGUGGAGGUUCAGACAUGUGAGGCAAUUCACCAGGUCGACCUUCGAGUCGGGGUGUUUGGGAAUGCAGC